Long non-coding RNA from Anthonomus grandis grandis, 1003 nucleotides. RefSeq lists it as uncharacterized. The transcript has 2 exons. The record is from RefSeq and is a predicted model, not a curated record. Lineage: Eukaryota; Metazoa; Arthropoda; Insecta; Coleoptera; Curculionidae.
CUGGGUGUCCAAACAGGAACAGUCGGAGCCUCCACUUAAAACUGGCUUAAGUGGAUCCACUUUGCCAGGGCUACCCGGUAUAUACUCCGUUCGAGGCUACUCAAACAAACCAACAAGUUGUCUCGUCGUCUGGACUCCCCGUUAGUUGGAAAUUGAAUUUUAAAGAAAAUUGCGCGAGCGUGAGUGUUUUGGAAAUUCUUUAAAAAUGCAAAGAAUUUUAAGCGUGGAGACGAGCAGGAGUUUUAAUCAAACCAAUUCGGAGUUCGUCACUAAACGAUUUUGUUGCAGUUUUUUGUUGACUGUCGCUUUUUUCUCGGUUUUGGGAGGUUUCCUGCUGGGAAAGUUCGUCUCUGACAAGUCUCUAAACGAGGUGCAUAAAGAGAUGCAGGAUCUCUCCAGAAAAGUGGAGUUUUUGAACCUGAACUUGCAAAAAACAUUCCAGAGCGUCAGAUCCAAUUCGUCGGCGAGCCAGGAAAAUGCGUUUUUCAGCUGCAAUUUCACGAAUAUCGGGAACAAUCAGACCGGAAUGUUGAUGGCAAAUGUUUACCUGAAUGAUUUGAAUAAUUGUUUCAAUUAUGGAUGAUUUUUAAAAAAAAUUAUCUUUGGAUUAACUUUUUUGCUCUGUGAGCUCUUUGACGUAUGGCAUGUGAGGGUCACAGUUUAAACAGUUGAUGUUUUUGAAAUAGUGCAUGUUAGUAAUUUAGACUGUAAGCUUUUGUAAUGAAACAGUAUUAGUUUCAUUACUUUUUAUUGUUGUUGUAAAGUUUGUAAUUAUUAGUUUGUUUUCAGUAUUUAGUUAAAAUAGGAAUGAUUCACAGUCUUAAAGACUGAAUCUUUGCAAAACAUUAAAGAGUCGACAUAUACUGCGAAUAAUUAUAAUAUUUUUGUAUAUAAAAAAUUGUUCUAUUUAUUUAAGAAUCUUGUAUAUGUGUACAAUGAGUUAUAAUUAUGUAAACUUAAUAUACAUACAUAAGGGAAAGUUUAAAAAAAAAUUUGGUUUGUA